AGUCCAGAAAGUGAUAAUGGUCUGAGCAAAGGGUAGAAUGUGGACACAGAAAUAAAGGAAGAAAGCAGGAUAAAAUAGGCUCUACACUUAGAGAUCUGAAGGAACUUAUUCAGUUAGGCUGCUGCAGAAGAAAUGAGCAUGAUUUACAUAAUUUCAGUGUUUGCAAGGGAGCUGCCUGGAUACUUUAUCUUUGUCUGUAUCUUCAUGCCAGUGACUUUACUCCUACUGCUGCUGAUUGCCUAUUUCAGGAUCCAGCUAUCAAAAGUUGAUAAGGAGCUGGCCAUGCUGUAUGAUCCUGGAAACACCCUCCCAAAUUAUGAUGUUGAUCAGCAGAAACCGUGGAGAUCUCGGAAACAAGCAAACAAAUACUGAAAUUAAAUGACAUUAAAGGGAGCCUCAAGCCUCAGGAUAUAAGGUUACAACCACUGCUCAGCUCUUCAGGCUUAAAAAUAACCAGCUGUAGAUAAAUAACAUAGAGGAGAACAAAAUGGAUAGAAGCUAUUGGUAUGCUGUACAAGUAAAGCAGCUGCUGCUAUUCUAAAAGACCUCAUAGCAGUUUUUCUCUCUCACCUGUGGCCAAGUGAUCAGUACUUUCAUCAGCUCAUCAGACACCAGAGACCUCCUGCAAUCUACUGCAUCAUUUUGUUUAUGUGGUGCAGGAUUUGGUGGGACAGAAAGCACCUUGCUCACCACUCUUUCACCAGCCUACAGAGAAGGACAUUCAAUAUUUAACAAGCUCCUGGGAGAGCUGAGCUACAUAUACAAUGCAAGCAGUCUUAUUAAAUUGAAAAUGCAAAAAUAGCAAGUUCAUACAAAGCAAUGACACCUAGAAAUUAAGAAGGGUGAUGGUGGGGAACCGACUUAUGUUUAUCAGCUUGUAUACUUUGUGUAAGAUCGUAGGUUUUCUAAAGUAUGUAAACAAAAUAUGACAGUGAUGGGAAACAGAAGGACACCACUGAUCUCACCAAAGUUUGAAAUAAUGGAAUGCUGCAAUCAGUAUUUUUCUGUUAUCACUUUAUUCUGAGGACAAUUAUUGAAUAAAUGAAUAAAUUCUUACAAAAAUUAAUGAAAAAAAACAAAAAAUUCUCUAAGUAUGGCCAUGUGUGUCUCACAUACUCAGAAAUCUCCCUCCCCCUCCUGGGAGAAUAAUGCUCUAAAGGCAGUUCUUAAAUCAGAAAUAUGCACUCUAUCACCCAGUUGUUAAACAGACCUUACUUUCACAACAUCAAAUUGAUAUACUCAGGACGUUAAGGUGUGCAUUCUUACUUACAUCUCUGACCCAGGCUUUUACAUUACCUAGCAGAUAUAGAGCAACACAGUCCAAAGUUGAGUAUACUUUUCUUGAAACCUAGUGCAUCCAAGACUAUAAAGGCAGAGAGUCUCAAAAGCUGUCAGUAUUGGCCUGCUCCUACCUUUAACAAACUGCUGUUAAGCACUGGCACCAAGUAGCCAAAAUAACACUGCUUUCCUUGAAAGACGCAUCCUGACCCCAUGAAAACGGUAAUGAUGAAAAAAAGUGAUGACGUGUUUAAUGCUUCUAAACUUGAAUUUAUGUCAUUAGAUAUUUAAUGUUCAGUAAAGAUAAAUCAAGAUAGUUAACACAGCGACAGUAAUGUAUUUAUGAAUACUUACGUGACACAAAGCUUGAGAGCAUAAGGUGUAACACAAAUAUUCUUAAGAAUGCCAUUAACUCAUAAAACUACUACUGACAGUGUAAAGAACAGUCAUCUCAAAGGACCUACAUUAAAAGCCUGUCUCUUGGUCACACAGAUAAUGACAUCUUCAGCAUCAGUGCUCCUGUAAGGUGAAGAUGAAACAACAUACCUCAGUCAGUAGAGAUCCUAAAGUUAGAGGCAGGUAUGCUGUCUGAGGAGAGAGAUCUGAAAGUUUGAUUCUAAUGAUUUGCUUACAAAAACAGAGAGAGUAGCAGCUUCAAGGAGGGAGGACACCUUCCAGUUUCGGGGAUUAGUCCCUGCUGCACUCCUCAUUCCAUGUAUCUCUUGGCAGGGAAAGACGGUCUAUCUGGUAGAAGUGGUUCAUAGGCAGUAUUCAACACACAGGUCACUUCUGAGAUCUCGGAUUGCAAAUGAUGUAAGGUCAGAAACAGUCUUUGUCCCUUGCAUGGAUACAGAAUAAGAACCAUAUCCUGCUUGGAGUCCUUACUCAGUGCCCCUCACCACAGGUUGCACUGAAAACACUUGAUGGGAAACAUUUAUUUAUUUUUGACAGAGAAAAAUCAUGCUUAGAGAUUAUGGAUAAUUGAAAAUGCAAAUGGUUCCACGUCUUCUGCAGUAGGAUAUUCAUAGAGACCAGGUUCUUCCGCAUUAUGCAUAUGUCAGUCCUACCCAAAAUUGUUAUUUUACAUUUAAAAAACGUGCUGCUGGCACAAAAGCAGUGACAAAUGCCAAAAACACAGAUUAAAGCAAUUGUACCCUCUCCAGCGCAACUCUUUAAUUUCAGAUACCCAUUCCCACAUCACUCAAAGAAUGACUUGCCUAGACGACAAAUAAAGAUACAGAAUCAAAGUUUAGUAAGCGUUUUUACAACACAAAAUUUUGUUGAUUUCACAAAAUGCCAGGUAUAAAAUAUUAUACAGACAGAUAGAUAGAUAGAUAUCACUGCUGAAGAGUGCUUUUCUGUAAAAUGGCAUUAGAGCUACUGAGAAAAAUAUUUUAGAGAUAUUAAAUAAGGAUUAUAACAGAAAACCACUAGAUCCUUCACCACAACUUCUGAUUAACAUGUAGGAGGAUCUGUCAUUUGGGACUCAGUAACAAGCCAUGAAUGUCUCCAGGUCUUAAUGUCCUUAAUACCAUUACUGAAUCGUGUCAAGAACCACCUGCUUUCAUGCUACUGGCAUGGAGAACAUUAUGAUAUCUUUGUUUCUCUGAGAAUUGAAAAGUAUGCAUUUAAGCAUCACUACAGUGCAAAAUCUUUAAGAAGCAAAUAGCAAAUGCAUAGAACAAAAAUCUGCUGAGGCAGAUAAAAGAAAUACAACAAUAAGUCUUUGAAAAAUGAUGAAAACUGUAAGAGUAUUUAGGAAAAGUACUACUUCCUAGUACAGCACUUACUCUUUUGUUAUACACAUCCCUAGGCAAUAAACAGUAGCAGGAUUCUGAGUUAGUCAUUUAGUCAUUCAUAUACACACACCUCCAAAAAUAUCACUGGAUUUCCUUCAUGCUAAACUGAAUAAGCUAACGCUACAGAAGCAUUAGCAAUACUGCUAAUACCUACAUUUUACAAAUAUUACUAAUCCAAAUGUAUGGUUUCCCAAGUGUAAUAUAAGAAAGGAAAAAAGAAAGUGGAAUCAAGGAAAAAUACAACAAAGCAGCCUGAAAAAUCAAAACAGUUUCAAACCUGGAGCGGUGUCAGGUCCUCAGUGUGGGAUACCAGCUGCUCCAGGUAGCCCAUGUUCAUUGCAAACGUACCUAAAAUCUAAGAAGCUCUUGGUGUGUCCUGGUCAAGGGUACAGUUAAUUGUCACUCUGAUCUCUAUUAUUAUAUUUUAUUCCAUCUAGAUAAUUUCUUCUGUAGCUAAACUAAAAGUUGCUGCUCAGCCUAAGUUGAUAAGAAGAAUGUGUCAGAAAACAGAACUGUGGAGAGGAUUAUUCUGGAAGUGAUUGAAAAACACCCAAAAGACAAUGAGGUCAUUAAUUGCAGCCAGCAUGAGUUCAUAAGGGGAAAGUCCAGUUAAACUAAAUCUUUUAUCAAAAGGUUACCCAUUUAGUCCACAAAGGGAAGCCUGGUGAUGUAAUCUUUUAGACUUUCAGUGAGGUUUCAUUACAGUUUCUCACAGUAUCCUUCUGGAGAAAAUAUCCAGAAUACAGCUAGACAAAAACACAGUGGUGAACUCAAAGAGUUCUAGUAAAUGGGAUUACAUCAGACUGGUAGCCUGUCACCAAUGGAGUUGUCCAGGGCUCCAUUUUAGUGCCAGUUCUCUUCAGCAUUUUCAUUAAUGACUUGAAUACACAACUUCAAGGCAUACUUAGUAAGUUUGUGGAAAACAAAUUGUACAGAGCCGCUGACUCCCUCAAGGGCAGAGAGGCUGGACAGUCAACCACAUGAAGUGCAAUGAGAGCAAGUGUCAGAUACUGCACACGGGACACAGAAACCCUGAAUGUAGGUAUAGACUUGGGGGUGAGAGGCUGGAGUACAGUCCUGCAGGAGCCGAUCUGGUGACUCUGGUUGACAAGAAGUUGUAUUUGAAACAGCAGUGUGCACUGGCAGCCAGAGAGCCAACCAUAUUCUGGAGUGCAUCAGGCCCAGAGCUGCCAUCCUGGCAGUGGGAGGGAUUAUCCCACUGUGCAGUCCCACCUCAAGCCAUGUGCAUAGGUUUGAGUGCCACAAAUAAAAAGCACAUAAAAGCAUUACAGAGCAUUCAAAGGAGGGCAGCAAGCAUGCUAAGGAGUCUGAAGGACAAAACAUGAGGAGCAGUUAAGAUCUCUUGGUUUCCUCAGCUCAGAGCAGAGGAGGCUGAGGAAAGACCUCAUGUCAGCCUGCAGCUCCUGAUGAGGGGAGUGGAGGGGCAGCACUGAUCUCUGCUCUCCGUGACAGAGACUGGGCCGAGGGAACAGCAUGGAGCUGUGUCAGGGGAGGGGCGGAUGGGGGUUUGGGGCAGGGUCUGUACCACAGGGCGGUGGGCAUGGAACAGGCUGCACAGGACAGUGGGCAUGGCCUUAAGUGCCAGAGUUCAGCACUUUCAGACAUAGGAUCUGAAAUUUGGAUGGUCCUGCAUGGAGCCAGGGGUUGGACUCAAUGAUCCCUGUGGGUCUCUUCCAGUUUGGGAUAUUCGAUGAAACACUAUUGCAACUGCUUACUGCGUUGAGCAAUAUCUACAUAUUUAAACUACCUGUUGAGAGAGUUGCUUGCUUGCCCUUUAUGAAGCCUUAAUCUAGCAAACAAUCUGGAGUACAAUUCUAACAUUUAUUUUUGAACCCUCAUGUGAUUUAUUAAGUGUUCCAGUAUAGAAAGCACGUGAAUCACUUCUCUCUAACAGUAUUUAAGUAGAAUUAUUUACUCAAAUAUCUCCUCCAGAUUUUCAUGAAAUGGUCCUACAAUUGUAUGUGAAAUCAGGUAGGUAUUGAAAAGGCAGAUUGAGAGAUGUCUUGAGAACAAUUUCUUCUGUUGCAUUUUGAAGUUUUUGCUAUGGAAAUGUAAAAAACAAAAAA
Coturnix japonica (Japanese quail) is the source of this 5164-nucleotide non-coding RNA. The record is from RefSeq and is a predicted model, not a curated record. Lineage: Eukaryota; Metazoa; Chordata; Aves; Galliformes; Phasianidae.